RNAcentral lists this long non-coding RNA (3081 nucleotides) under Sus scrofa (pig). Its description in RNAcentral is "lncRNA (ENSSSCG00000059156.1)". Lineage: Eukaryota; Metazoa; Chordata; Mammalia; Artiodactyla; Suidae. The record is from RNAcentral.
ACUUUAAAACUCAUUGAACUUUUUAGUCAGGUUGGUGAUACUCUAAUUUGUAACAUUAGAACAUAGCAUAUGUAGUGUAUAUAGGCUAUAUUUUUAUAUGUAAAUGUUAUCUAAGUAUUUUUGUUGCUUACAUCAUUGACGAGUCAUCAAGUACAAUCCUAAAAAUAUAUCAGAAGCUUUAUUUUGGUACAAAUUCAUAAGAAAACUUUUUAAAAACAUAUGCAUUAAAUAUCACCAAUAAUUGUGACACUUUUUAUCUCAGUCAGUUAUGUUGAGACUUUAGUCAUGUGGGGGAACAUGGAAGAAGUUAAAAGAAAAGUAAUUGUCGUUGGACUAAUGUCAUAUCGAAUCCAAGUAAAUUAAGUGGGUUUUUUUUAAUGUAUAACUUGGUAGAAAGUGACUUGAAAAUCAUUAUUUAUUAGAAGGCACUGCUAGGUUUUUUUCAGCUGUCUUCAGGUAAUAUUUCUAGUCUGUGUGAAAUUUUAUUUUUAAACUUUUGCCUUUGUUUAUUCUCUUUAUGGAAUUUAUCAAAUUCAGUGACGUUUCAAAUGGUUGAUCAUAGCAAUAUAUAAAUUUUAAAUCCAGUGCCCAAAAGUUGAGUCCAUUAUCAACCAGCCUUCCUUAUUCAUUGAGUGCUGAAUCGACAUUCAGGAUUCAUUUCACUAAAUUAUCAAUACUUGAAAUAUACAAGAGAAAAGUUAAAUCCAGAAAGAAAGAGCAGCGAAGAAGGGAAAGAGUAGUUUUAAUGAUUAAUAAGAAACACUAUGUGGGAGUUCCCUUCAUGGCUCAGUCGGUUAAUGAACCCGACUAGGAUCCACGAGGAUGCGGGUUUGAUCCCUGGCCUCACUCAGUGGGUUAAGGAUCUGACGUUGCCAUGAGCUGUGGUGUAGGUUGCAGACAUGGCUCAGAUCCUGCAUGGCUGUGGCAGGCAGCUGGAGCUCCAAUUCAACCUCUAGCCUGGAAACUUCCGUGUGCUGCAGGUGCGGCCCUCAAAAGCUAAAAAAGAAAAAGAAACACUAUGUAGAUAUAAAAAUGCACCCUUAUUUAUUUAAGAUUCUUGAUGAGGUAUUUUAUUUGCAAAAAAAUCAGGCAGUAUUUUUUCCCUGAAAAUUUAGUUUUAAUGUGUGUCAUAACAUUUUCUGAAGAUUCUCAGAGAAGAUAUUUCAAUUAAACCAGCUGUGGAUUUUAUUUGGGGGCCUGGAAAAAUGAGAAUGAUUGCACCUGUCAGCUGUUGUAUCUGUUACAUUUGGUCCAUGACCAGCAUUUCACCAGCCACCACAGUCAAGUUCCCUGUUCUCUGAAAGCUAUUCAGGUGCCUAAGAAUCUUUUCAUCUGCAGGUGUGGGGGAGGGAAGGGGAGCUUUGAUUCCUCUGAUGAGCUCUGGGCUAUGUCAGUCAUCCCUGUUCUCUGACAGCCAGAAGGAUUUCUCCAGCUUCAGAGUCAACUUGUCAAACACUGGCUCUGAUAUUUUUAAUUUUGAAUCACAGGGUCUUCAUUUCCCCACACGGCCAGAUUUCUCCAUAAUUGAAGUUAAAUAAGAACUAGUUUUGUCUUAGUUAAAGACCAAUUUGUAUGGUGUUACCAAAUGAAAAAGUACUAUAUUAGCAAAAGCCACAUUAUAUUUUGAUUCUGUCCUCCCCGGAUUCUCCUUUAUUAAAACAAUUUCUGCCUCUUGUCUAGGUUAACUCAACAUUCUUAUUAGCAUUGUAUAUGUAGUGUGCAUGUUGUACAUGCCUUCGUGUGGCCCAAUUUCACUCAGUAUUUUUGCCAUAGUUACAGACUAGCUCUCUGACUUCAAAGUACUGCACAGACGUCAGUUAGGAUGUUCAUGGAAGUUCCCCAUGGAUGUCCUGUCCACCUGGGGCAGAGCACAGGCUUUCUCUAGCAUACCUGGGGCGAAUCUUCUGGGAAUCUUCUGGGACUGACAUGCCGGAGAUGGCAGUACAGCAUCUGAGUAGUACCUUUUUUUUUUUUUUUUUAACUAAUAACAUGUCCCCUCCUCUUUCUUUAUUAAAAGGGAGAAGAUACAUAAUAAAACUAAUGGAUAAUAAAUAAAAUUAUUUAAAUGAUACCAGUGGCUCAAAGAAUAUUUUCUGUUGAGAAAAUAAUUUGGUAAAAAUAUAGACCAUUGAUACUAUGAUUUUUUUUUAAAUGAAUAUUUUGAUCUUUGGGGCUCAACGAACUUCCCCUUCAUAAGAAAAUUUGAGAGACUUUGAUCUAAAAGACAAAGCAAGAUAUUUCUUAAUAUUAGAUGGCUGACUGUAAUUGUUAACCUUUUGUCAGUAUGUUUAACCGUGAGUAAUCUUAUUUAUGCCACUAGUGCUCAGGAGAUUAAACAUCUUUCUGAAAGUGGUUUUGACCUAGGAGAUAAGAAAACAUGCUUUAGAAAUGCUGUUUAGGAGUUCCUACUGUGGUUCAGUGGUAAUGAACCCGACUAGGAUCCAUGAGCAUGUGGGUUCCGGUUCCAUCCCUGGCCUUGCUCAGUGGGUUAAUGAUCCAGUGUUGCCACAGGUGGUGGUUUAGGUUGCAGAUGCAGCUCGGAUCCCGAGUUGCUAUGGCUGUGGUGUAGGCCAACAGCUCCAGCUCCAAUUCGACCCUUGGCCUGGGACCCUCCAUAUGCAGCAGGUGUGGCCCUAAAAAGACCAAAAAAAAAAAAAAAAAAAGAAAGAAAGAAAUGCUGUUUAUUGCCCUACAAUAAAAUGAAAUGUCACUCUCAUUCUUUACAUUUUAUGUCAAAAGUAAUUCUUAGGCACACACAUAAACCCACACUCCAGUAAUUUAGUACUGAUACUGAUUUAUCAUUUAAGUUGGUUCCAGAAAGAUGAUGUGUUGAAAGAUCACUCUGAAAGUUAUUCCAUUGGAGUUUUCUUGAUAACAAAUAGGGAAAUACAUGUUUGUACCAUGAAUAAAUUAAGCUGUGGAUUUUUGUUUUUCAAAAUGAUGUUGUUUGUUUGAGUGAAAACUACAUAUCAGUGCACUUGAGUCAAAUCUUUUUAUUUUAACUUAUUUUUCUUUAUAAUAUGAAAAGAUGUUUUAAAGUACUGUAACUUCUGAAUUUUCAAUAAAAUAUUAUUUUGCUUG